Long non-coding RNA from Heteronotia binoei (common prickly gecko), 420 nucleotides. RefSeq lists it as uncharacterized. The transcript has 2 exons. NCBI's taxonomy places the organism in Eukaryota, Metazoa, Chordata, Lepidosauria, Squamata, Gekkonidae. The record is from RefSeq and is a predicted model, not a curated record.
AGGCUGAUCUACAAGGCAAAGCGUAUCCAGCAGCAACAGCAGAAUCGGAAACAAAAAAAAGGAGAGCUCUUUCUGUCGACUUAUGUCUGAUAAUACAUACCAGAAGCGGCAUCUUGAAAUGGCAUUAAUGGAUUCCUCCAUUAGACAACACAUGCUCAAGAUGAAAUUAUUGCAAUGGGAGAAUUUUCGUCAUCUUCGGUGGCCAGGCGAACACUGCCAUCUACAGGCUGUUAAAUUUAGACACUCCAUCUUUCAAAGCCCCAAAUUUGCAAUUGAGAACUAGAAACCACUGAAGUUGAAAAUCUGAGUGUCAAAAAUUAGCCCUGGUCGAUCAGUCUGACAAAGUGUGCUAUUUUACAAAUUGUCCAAUAUCAUGGCUCACCAACAAAAAUAUUAUAUUAAACCAUCUGCUAGUGAUGA